UACAGAGGUCUCAAGCGCUGUUCGGAUUCAUUGGGCGUAAAGGGUGUGUAGGUGGCGCCGUAAGUCGGGUGUGAAAUUUCGGAGCUUAACUCCGAAACUGCAUUCGAUACUGCGGUGCUUGAGGACUGGAGAGGAGACUGGAAUUCAUGGUGUAGCAGUGAAAUGCGUAGAGAUCAUGAGGAAGACCAGUGGCGAAGGCGGGUCUCUGGGCCGAUACUGACGCUGAGGAGCGAAAGCGUGGGGAGCGAACAGG
RNAcentral lists this ribosomal RNA (253 nucleotides) under uncultured bacterium. RNAcentral describes it as "partial 16S ribosomal RNA". It matches the Rfam family "Bacterial small subunit ribosomal RNA", at positions 524 to 776 of the family's 1533-position model. The record is from RNAcentral.